Molecule: ribosomal RNA, 472 nt
Filed under: Pseudomonas sp. oral taxon B99
Lineage: Bacteria; Pseudomonadati; Pseudomonadota; Gammaproteobacteria; Pseudomonadales; Pseudomonadaceae
Description: bacterial SSU rRNA
Rfam family: Bacterial small subunit ribosomal RNA
Source: RNAcentral
AUUGAACGCUGGCGGCAGGCCUAACACAUGCAAGUCGAGCGGUAGAGAGGAGCUUGCUUCUCUUGAGAGCGGCGGACGGGUGAGUAAUACCUAGGAAUCUGCCUGAUAGUGGGGGAUAACGUUCGGAAACGGACGCUAAUACCGCAUACGUCCUACGGGAGAAAGCAGGGGACCUUCGGGCCUUGCGCUAUCAGAUGAGCCUAGGUCGGAUUAGCUAGUUGGUGAGGUAAUGGCUCACCAAGGCUACGAUCCGUAACUGGUCUGAGAGGAUGAUCAGUCACACUGGAACUGAGACACGGUCCAGACUCCUACGGGAGGCAGCAGUGGGGAAUAUUGGACAAUGGGCGAAAGCCUGAUCCAGCCAUGCCGCGUGUGUGAAGAAGGUCUUCGGAUUGUAAAGCACUUUAAGUUGGGAGGAAGGGCAGUUAUCUAAUACGUGAUUGAAUUGACGUUACCGACAGAAUAAGCACCG